AUGGUGGGGCGUCCCCGGCCGCACGCUCGAGGGCGUGCUGACGCACCUCGAGGGCGCCAACAACCCGCCGUUGGCAUACCCCCCGGCGAGGGCGGCCGCCCCGGCGCACCGCCGACGCGACGGGCAAUGGAUGCCAAGGAGGUUCGGUUCCUCCUCUUCUUCCUCCUCGCGCUCUUUCUCCCACUCCUCCGGCUCUCAGGCGCUGCUCGGCGUCAAGGCCGAGUCUGCGGCGGAGACGCCGCUCGGCCGGCGCACUCGCAGCGCCGGCAUCGUCAUCAAUGA
RNAcentral lists this ribosomal RNA (282 nucleotides) under Triticum aestivum (bread wheat). Its description in RNAcentral is "partial small subunit ribosomal RNA". The record is from RNAcentral. Lineage: Eukaryota; Viridiplantae; Streptophyta; Magnoliopsida; Poales; Poaceae.